RNAcentral lists this ribosomal RNA (497 nucleotides) under uncultured bacterium. RNAcentral describes it as "partial 16S ribosomal RNA". It matches the Rfam family "Bacterial small subunit ribosomal RNA", at positions 28 to 507 of the family's 1533-position model. The record is from RNAcentral.
GAUGAACGCUGGCGGCGUGCCUAAUACAUGCAAGUCGAGCGAACGGACGAGAGGCUUGCUUCUCUGAUGUUAGCGGCGGACGGGUGAGUAACACGUGGAUAACCUACCUAUAAGACUGGGAUAACUUCGGGAAACCGUAGCUAAUACCGGAUAAUAUUUUGAACCGCAUGGUUCAAAAGAGGAAGACGGUCUUGCUGUCACUUAUAGAUGGAUCCGCGCUGCAUUAGCUAGUUGGUAAGGUAACGGCUUACCAAGGCAACGAUCCGUAGCCGGCCUGAGAGGGCGAUCAGCCACACUGGGACUGAGACACGGCCCAGACUCCUACGGGAGGCAGCAGUGGGGAAUCUUGCGCAAUGGGCGAAAGCCUGACGGAGCAACGCCGCGUGAGUGAUGAAGGUCUUCGGGUCGUAAAACUCUGUUAUUAGGGAAGAACAUAUGUGUACGUAACUGUGCACAUCUUGACGGUACCUAAUCAGAAAGCCCCGGCUAACUACGUG